Molecule: long non-coding RNA, 291 nt
Organism: Dalotia coriaria
Lineage: Eukaryota; Metazoa; Arthropoda; Insecta; Coleoptera; Staphylinidae
Exons: 2
Source: RefSeq, a predicted model, not a curated record
GUCAGUAUGUUAUUAAUAACCUUACAUUUUGUAGUAGUGUGCGCGAAAAUUUCGAUUAUAUAAAAUACAAAAGUUGAAAUACAAAAAUCUUAUCAAUUAGGAACUAGUGUGUAAAUAGAAAAAAUGGCGUAAGCACCACGUGGCUAAACGUUGUUAAACACUCGAUUGCUUAAACGCUCGCUCUCAAUCAAUCUCUUGUUUUGUGUUGUAUUGCUGAAUGUUUUCACCUUACCUGCUGACCGCCUUGAACACGUCAGUGGUUUCGUCUUCACACUAAAACCGAAAAAAGAA